RNAcentral lists this ribosomal RNA (520 nucleotides) under uncultured Glomus. RNAcentral's name for it is "SSU rRNA". It matches the Rfam family "Eukaryotic small subunit ribosomal RNA", at positions 569 to 1091 of the family's 1831-position model. The record is from RNAcentral. Lineage: Eukaryota; Fungi; Glomeromycota; Glomeromycetes; Glomerales; Glomeraceae.
AGCAGCCGCGGUAAUUCCAGCUCCAAUAGCGUAUAUUAAAGUUGUUGCAGUUAAAAAGCUCGUAGUUGAAUUUCGGGGUUAGUAGGUUGGUCAUGCCUCUGGUAUGUACUGGUCUCACUGAUUCCUCCUUCCUGAUGAACCUUAAUGCCAUUAAUUUGGUGUUUUGGGGAAUUUGGACUGUUACUUUGAAAAAAUUUAGAGUGUUUAAAGCAAGCUAACGCUUGAAUACAUUAGCAUGGAAUAAUGAAAUAGGACGUUCGAUCCUAUUUUGUUGGUUUCUAGGAUUGACGUAAUGAUUAAUAGGGAUAGUUGGGGGCAUUAGUAUUCAAUUGUCAGAGGUGAAAUUCUUGGAUUUAUUGAAGACUAACUACUGCGAAAGCAUUUGCCAAGGAUGUUUCAUUAAUCAAGAACGAAAGUUAGGGGAUCGAAGACGAUCAGAUACCGUCGUAGUCUUAACCAUAAACUAUGCCGACUAGGGAUCGGAUGAUGUUAAUUUUUAAUGACUCAUUCGGCGCCUUAC